RNAcentral lists this ribosomal RNA (685 nucleotides) under Shigella flexneri. RNAcentral describes it as "bacterial SSU rRNA". It matches the Rfam family "Bacterial small subunit ribosomal RNA", at positions 860 to 1533 of the family's 1533-position model. Lineage: Bacteria; Pseudomonadati; Pseudomonadota; Gammaproteobacteria; Enterobacterales; Enterobacteriaceae. The record is from RNAcentral.
UUAAGUCGACCGCCUGGGGAGUACGGCCGCAAGGUUAAAACUCAAAUGAAUUGACGGGGGCCCGCACAAGCGGUGGAGCAUGUGGUUUAAUUCGAUGCAACGCGAAGAACCUUACCUGGUCUUGACAUCCACGGAAGUUUUCAGAGAUGAGAAUGUGCCUUCGGGAACCGUGAGACAGGUGCUGCAUGGCUGUCGUCAGCUCGUGUUGUGAAAUGUUGGGUUAAGUCCCGCAACGAGCGCAACCCUUAUCCUUUGUUGCCAGCGGUCCGGCCGGGAACUCAAAGGAGACUGCCAGUGAUAAACUGGAGGAAGGUGGGGAUGACGUCAAGUCAUCAUGGCCCUUACGACCAGGGCUACACACGUGCUACAAUGGCGCAUACAAAGAGAAGCGACCUCGCGAGAGCAAGCGGACCUCAUAAAGUGCGUCGUAGUCCGGAUUGGAGUCUGCAACUCGACUCCAUGAAGUCGGAAUCGCUAGUAAUCGUGGAUCAGAAUGCCACGGUGAAUACGUUCCCGGGCCUUGUACACACCGCCCGUCACACCAUGGGAGUGGGUUGCAAAAGAAGUAGGUAGCUUAACCUUCGGGAGGGCGCUUACCACUUUGUGGUUCAUGACUGGGGUGAAGUCGUAACAAGGUAACCGUAGGGGAACCUGCGGUUGGAUCACCUCCUUACCUUAAAGAAGC